Long non-coding RNA from Anolis carolinensis (green anole), 2247 nucleotides. NCBI's taxonomy places the organism in Eukaryota, Metazoa, Chordata, Lepidosauria, Squamata, Anolidae. The record is from Ensembl.
AUGGAAACCACACUACAAACUAGAGCUGAGAGCUGGCAAAACAAAACAUUGCAUGGAAAGUUCCUUGACAAAAUUGAAGGAAAAGCUGAUAAGGAGAAGACCUGUCUCUGGCUCACGAAUGGGACCCUGAAGAAGGAGACAGAAGGCCUGAUCCUUGCAGCCCAGGAGCAAGACAUCAGGACAAAGGCAAUUCAGGCCAAGAUCGAAAAAUCAGCUGAUGACCCAAAAUGCAGACUGUGCAAGGAAGCUGACAAAACCAUUGAUCAUAUCCUCAGCUGCUGUAAGAAAAUCGCACAGACAGACUACAAACAGAGGCACAACUGUGUGGCCCAAAUGAUUCAUUGGAACUUAUGCCUCAAGUACCACCUCCCAGCAGCAAAGAACUGGUGGGAUCACAAACCUGCAAAAGUAUUGGAAAAUGAGCACGCAGAGAUACUGUGGGACUUCCGAAUCCAGACUGACAAAGUUCUGGAACACAACACACCAGACAUCACAGUUGUGGAAAAGAACAAGGUUUGGAUCAUUGAUGUUGCCAUCCCAGGUGACAGUCGCAUUGACGAAAAACAACAGGAAAAACUCAGCCGCUAUCAGGACCUCAAGAUUGAACUUCAAAGACUCUGGCAGAAACCAGUGCAGGUGGUCCCGGUGGUGAUGGGCACACUGGGUGCCGUGCCAAAAGAUCUCAGCCGGCAUUUGGAAACUAUAGACACUGACAAAAUUACGAUCUGCCAACUGCAAAAGGCCACCCGACUGGGAUCUGCACGCAUCAUCCGAAAAUACAUCACACGGUCCUAGACGCUUGGGAAGUGUUCGACUUGUGAUUUUGUGAUACGAAAUCCAGCAUGUCUAUCUUGUUUGCUGUGUCAUACAAUGUCCUUGUGUCAAUAAUAAUAAUAAUAAUAAUAAUAAUAAUAAUAAUCUUUACCUAUUCUGCCAGAGCUGCUGCUGCUGCUGCUGCUUCUUCUUCUUCUUCUUCUUCUUCUUCUUCUUCUUCUUCUUCUUCUUAUUAUUAUUAUUAUUAUUAUUAUUAUUAUUAUUAUUACCUGUAUUAUUUUACUCUGUUAUUAUUAAAAGGAUACAUAAGCACAUUUACAUUGAAGAAGAUGAGAAUAAUGAUUUAAUCAGAGUUGGACAGUCUUAUCUUAAAUUAGAGCUUGAUGUAAAUAUUCAAAAACAUUAAACCUACUGAUUCCUCAAUUAAUGUAAUUUUAUUGGUAUCUGUUUUUAUUUCUGAAAUUUACCACUCUUGGCUUAUACUGGAGUCAAUGUUUUCCCAGAUUUUUGGGGUAAAAUUAGGUGCCUAGGCUUAUAUUUGGGUCGGCUUAUAUUCGAGUAUAAACAGUACGUCAUUUCAGUGAACAUAGAAAUACCAUUUGAAUCUCCUUUAUGCAGAAAUCCAAAGACUUCCUAAAUUGAAACUUUUUGAUGCACUUCCGAGGUGACCGCGAUGGCCUCCUCGUCAUUCUUUUUGCAGCUUUCGAGGCGGCAGCUAAAGCUCUCCUUCUGGUUCGUCCACUUUUGGGUUUUCCAGGGCGUGAUAUCACAUUCCAAACAAUUAAUCUCAUUUACCAAGUCUCUUUCCAAUUCCAUCUUGCUCUUGUUCAGACUGUCGAAAGUACAACAACGUUUAGGCUGCAUUGUUCCAGGUUAGGACCUUCCGAGGGAGGCUAAACACCAAAGUGCUCUCCGGAUUGUGCCUUUCUUUGAAGAGAAGUUCAUUUUGAUUCCGACGUGUAUGCUUUUCAUGUAAAAAAAAAGAAAAGUCCAUUGUUGUGGCUUUUUCAAAGUUUCCUUUGCUGCCAGCUCCCACGGCUGAAGACUAAGCAGGAAACUACAGUACAUCAUUCAUCAAACAAUGUGGAACAAAUUACACAUGCCCUCAUUAGCAAUUACCUGAGAAACCUUCCUUCAGCCUACCUCACAGAGUAAUGACAGUUAAUAAUGGGUUCCAUGACAUGGCCGACCUAUGAAUGGCGUCUCACAGAGCUGUUCAGUAACCUUUUAAAACAUAAUUAUGCCUACUUUUGCAUCGAACACUAUUAUUUUAGAGGAUGUGAAGUACAUAGAGAUCAUUUUCAGGUGUGUCAUCCCAACCUAUGGUAGUCUAUAGUAGUCUCUUGAUUGCCAAGAGAGCCAUGGGUUCACAUAGAUGAAUCUCAAAUGGCAUGAAGUAGUUCAGAAGAAGGACCUGGGUAUUCCUUGCAUAGGAAAACACUCCUCAAGACUUCUUCGUCUUCUCCAUAUGCC